RNAcentral lists this ribosomal RNA (729 nucleotides) under uncultured Gammaproteobacteria bacterium. RNAcentral describes it as "bacterial SSU rRNA". It matches the Rfam family "Bacterial small subunit ribosomal RNA", at positions 62 to 782 of the family's 1533-position model. The record is from RNAcentral. Lineage: Bacteria; Pseudomonadati; Pseudomonadota; Gammaproteobacteria.
UCGAACGGAAACGAUGCUAGCUUGCUAGCAGGCGUCGAGUGGCGGACGGGUGAGUAAUGUAUAGGGAUCUGCCUGAUAGUGGGGGACAACGUGUGGAAACGCACGCUAAUACCGCAUACGCUCUACGGAGGAAAGCGGGGGCUCUUCGGACCUCGUGCUAUCAGAUGAACCUAUAUCAGAUUAGCUAGUUGGUGAGGUAAUGGCUCACCAAGGCGACGAUCUGUAGCUGGUUUGAGAGAAUGAUCAGCCACACUGGGACUGAGACACGGCCCAGACUCCUACGGGAGGCAGCAGUGGGGAAUAUUGCACAAUGGAGGAAACUCUGAUGCAGCAAUGCCGCGUGUGUGAAGAAGGCCUUAGGGUUGUAAAGCACUUUCAAUAGGGAGGAAAAGUAUAAGUUUAAUACACUUAUGCCGUGACGUUACCUAUAGAAGAAGGACCGGCUAACUCCGUGCCAGCAGCCGCGGUAAUACGGAGGGUCCGAGCGUUAAUCGGAAUUACUGGGCGUAAAGCGCGCGUAGGCGGAUAGAUAAGUCAGAUGUGAAAUCCCUGGGCUCAACCUAGGAACUGCAUUUGAAACUGUCUAUCUAGAGUAUGGUAGAGGUGAGUGGAAUUUCAGGUGUAGCGGUGAAAUGCGUAGAGAUCUGAAGGAACAUCAGUGGCGAAGGCGACUCACUGGGCCAUUACUGACGCUGAGGUGCGAAAGCGUGGGUAGCAAACAGGAUUAGA